Molecule: ribosomal RNA, 460 nt
Filed under: uncultured bacterium
Lineage: Bacteria
Description: partial 16S ribosomal RNA
Rfam family: Bacterial small subunit ribosomal RNA
Source: RNAcentral
CCUACGGGUGGCAGCAGUGAGGAAUAUUGGUCAAUGGACGCAAGUCUGAACCAGCCAUGCCGCGUGCAGGAAGACGGCUCUAUGAGUUGUAAACUGCUUUUGUACGAGGGUAAACGCAGAUACGCGUAUCUGUCUGAAAGUAUCCUACGAAUAAGGAUCGGCUAACUCCGUGCCAGCAGCCGCGGUAAUACGGAGGAUUCAAGCGUUAUCCGGAUUUAUUGGGUGUAAAGGGUGCGUAGGCGGUCGGAUAAGUUAGAGGUGAAAUCCCGAGGCUCAACUUCGGAAUUGCCUCUGAUACUGUUAGGCUAGAGAGUAGUUGCGGUAGGCGGAAUGUAUGGUGUAGCGGUGAAAUGCGUAGAGAUCAUACAGAACACCGAUUGCGAAGGCAGCUUACCAAGCUACGUCUGACGUUGAGGCACGAAAGCGUGGGGAGCAAACAGGAUUAGAUACCCGAGUAGUC